This 1300-nucleotide ribosomal RNA is filed under the name metagenome. RNAcentral describes it as "bacterial LSU rRNA". It matches the Rfam family "Bacterial large subunit ribosomal RNA", at positions 1635 to 2925 of the family's 2925-position model. The record is from RNAcentral.
UACACGACCGUACCGCAAACCGACACUGGUGCGCGAGAUGAGUAUUCUAAGGCGCUUGAGAGAACUCAGGAGAAGGAACUCGGCAAAUUGACACCGUAACUUCGGAAGAAGGUGUGCCUUUAGUAGGUGAAGUCCCUCGCGGAUGGAGCCCAAUGAGGUUGCAAAAAAUCGGUGGCUGCGACUGUUUAUUAAAAACACAGCACUCUGCAAACACGAAAGUGGACGUAUAGGGUGUGACGCCUGCCCGGUGCUGGAAGAUUAAAUGAUGGGGUGCAAGCUCUUGAUUGAAGUCCCAGUAAACGGCGGCCGUAACAAUAACGGUCCUAAGGUAGCGAAAUUCCUUGUCGGGUAAGUUCCGACCUGCACGAAUGGCGUAACGAUGGCCACACUGUCUCCUCCUGAGACUCAGCGAAGUUGAAAUGUUUGUGAUGAUGCAAUCUCCCCGCGGAAAGACGGAAAGACCCCAUGAACCUUUACUGUAGCUUUGUAUUGGACUUUGAACAGAUCUGUGUAGGAUAGGUGGGAGGCUUUGAAGCAGGGUCGCUAGAUCUUGUGGAGCCAACGUUGAAAUACCACCCUGGUGUGUUUGAGGUUCUAACCUAGGCCCGUAAUCCGGGUUGGGGACAGUGCAUGGUAGGCAGUUUGACUGGGGCGGUCUCCUCCCAAAGUGUAACGGAGGAGUUCGAAGGUACGCUAGUUACGGUCGGACAUCGUGACGAUAGUGCAAUGGCAUAAGCGUGCUUAACUGCGAGACUGACAAGUCGAGCAGAUGCGAAAGCAGGACAUAGUGAUCCGGAGGUUCUGUAUGGAAGGGCCAUCGCUCAACGGAUAAAAGGUACUCUGGGGAUAACAGGCUGAUACCGCCCAAGAGUUCAUAUCGACGGCGGUGUUUGGCACCUCGAUGUCGGCUCAUCUCAUCCUGGGGCUGUAGCCGGUCCCAAGGGUAUGGCUGCUCGCCAUUUAAAGAGGUACGUGAGCUGGGUUUAAAACGUCGUGAGACAGUUUGGUCCCUAUCUUCCGUGGGCGCUGCAGAUUUGAGGAAGCCUGCUCCUAGUACGAGAGGACCGGAGUGGACGCACCUCUGGUGUAUCGGUUGUCACGCCAGUGGCAUUGCCGAGUAGCUAUGUGCGGAAGAGAUAACCGCUGAAAGCAUCUAAGCGGGAAACUCGUUUCAAGAUGAGAUCUGCCGGGGCCUUGAGCCCCCUGAAGAGUCGUUCAAGACCAGGACGUUGAUAGGUCGGGUGUGGAAGCGCAGUAAUGCGUUAAGCUAACCGAUACUAAUUGCUCGUGCGGCUUGACC